UUCGAUUCGAGCGCAGCGAGAACGCGUUGCCGCAGGCAACGACCCGAAGGGCGAAGCGCGCAGCGCUGAGUCAUCCUUCCCCCACCACCA
RNAcentral lists this small RNA (90 nucleotides) under Salmonella enterica subsp. enterica serovar Heidelberg. Its description in RNAcentral is "partial RtT sRNA". It matches the Rfam family "RtT RNA", at positions 42 to 130 of the family's 130-position model. Rfam says of the family: This family represents a bacterial cis-regulatory element known as RtT RNA. Lineage: Bacteria; Pseudomonadati; Pseudomonadota; Gammaproteobacteria; Enterobacterales; Enterobacteriaceae. The record is from RNAcentral. RNAcentral also lists the same sequence under 2 other names.